UUUCCGUAGGUGAACCUGCGGAAGGAUCAUUAUUGAAUAAACCUGAUGUGGUUGUAGCUGGCCCUUUCGGGAGCAUGUGCACACCCGUCGUCUUUAUCUUUCCACCUGUGCACCUUUUGUAGACCUGGAUGUAACACUUUCCGAGGCAACUCGGUCGGGAGGAAUGCUGUCAGCUUUCCUUGAAUGUCCAGGCCUAUGUUUUCAUAUACCCCAAAGAACGUAACAGAAUGUAUUAUUGGGCCUUGUGCCUAUAAACUAUAUACAACUUUCAGCAACGGAUCUCUUGGCUCUC
RNAcentral lists this unclassified non-coding RNA (292 nucleotides) under plant metagenome. RNAcentral describes it as "partial contains small subunit ribosomal RNA, internal transcribed spacer 1, and 5.8S ribosomal RNA". The record is from RNAcentral.